CCUACGGGGGGCAGCAGUGGGGAAUAUUGCACAAUGGGCGCAAGCCUGAUGCAGUGACGCCGCGUGAGGGAUGAAGGCCUUCGGGUUGUAAACCUCUUUCAGCAGGGAAGAAGCGAAAGUGACGGUACCUGCAGAAGAAGCGCCGGCUAACUACGUGCCAGCAGCCGCGGUAAUACGUAGGGCGCAAGCGUUGUCCGGAAUUAUUGGGCGUAAAGAGCUCGUAGGCGGUUUGUCGCGUCUGCUGUGAAAACCUGAGGCUCAACCUCGGGCUUGCAGUGGGUACGGGCAGACUAGAGUGCGGUAGGGGUGACUGGAAUUCCUGGUGUAGCGGUGGAAUGCGCAGAUAUCAGGAGGAACACCGAUGGCGAAGGCAGGUCACUGGGCCGCAACUGACGCUGAGGAGCGAAAGCAUGGGGAGCGAACAGGAUUAGAUACCCUGGUAGUCCAUGCCGUAAACGUUGGGCACUAGGUGUGGGGCUCAUUCCACGAGUUCCGUGCCGCAGCAAACGCAUUAAGUGCCCCGCCUGGGGAGUACGGCCGCAAGGCUAAAACUCAAAGAAAUUGACGGGGGCCCGCACAAGCGGCGGAGCAUGCGGAUUAAUUCGAUGCAACGCGAAGAACCUUACCAAGGCUUGACAUACACCGGAAAAGUGCAGAGAUGUGCUCCCCGCAAGGUCGGUGUACAGGUGGUGCAUGGUUGUCGUCAGCUCGUGUCGUGAGAUGUUGGGUUAAGUCCCGCAACGAGCGCAACCCUCGUCCUAUGUUGCCAGCGGGUCAUGCCGGGGACUCAUAGGAGACUGCCGGGGCCAACUCGGAGGAGGUGGGGGAUGACGUCAAAUCAUCAUGCUCCUUAUGUCUGGGGCUUCACGCAUGCUACAAUGGGCCGGUACAAAGGGUUGCGAUUACCCCGAGGUGGGAGCGAUCUCAAAAAGGCGGGUCUCAGUUC
Molecule: ribosomal RNA, 946 nt
Filed under: uncultured bacterium
Lineage: Bacteria
Description: bacterial SSU rRNA
Rfam family: Bacterial small subunit ribosomal RNA
Source: RNAcentral